UUGAUCCUGUUCUGUGUUCAUGAUACUUUAUAUGUUGGCAUUAUUGAGGUCCCAUAAUAAAUACACCACAUCAUUUAUCUUAACACUAAAGGAUUCCCUUGCAUAUCUUUGUAGGUUAAAGAAUUCCAUAGGCGUGAUGGUUUUGAAGUAGGCAAUGCUGACAAGAUCUUUGAAAGCACUUCAAGAGAUCAAGUAACAAGGAAAUCUGCUUGACAAAUGAAUCUGGAAAUCUGCAUGAGUACAUGGGACUAUCUAAUGUGGGUAUAAUCUUUUGCAUAUACAGAUUCAAUGAAUUUACAGAUCCAAU
RNAcentral lists this long non-coding RNA (307 nucleotides) under Musa acuminata (dwarf banana). Its description in RNAcentral is "long non-coding RNA (MACU_LNC007558)". Lineage: Eukaryota; Viridiplantae; Streptophyta; Magnoliopsida; Zingiberales; Musaceae. The record is from RNAcentral.